AGCGGCGGACGGGUGAGUAACGCGUGGGCAACCUGCCUCAUACAGGGGGAUAACAGUUAGAAAUGACUGCUAAUACCGCAUAAGCGCACAGGACCGCAUGGUGUAGUGUGAAAAACUCCGGUGGUAUGAGAUGGACCCGCGUCUGAUUAGGUAGUUGGUGGGGUAAAGGCCUACCAAGCCGACGAUCAGUAGCCGACCUGAGAGGGUGACCGGCCACAUUGGGACUGAGACACGGCCCAAACUCCUACGGGAGGCAGCAUG
This 261-nucleotide ribosomal RNA is filed under the name uncultured bacterium. RNAcentral's name for it is "partial 16S ribosomal RNA". It matches the Rfam family "Bacterial small subunit ribosomal RNA", at positions 94 to 353 of the family's 1533-position model. The record is from RNAcentral.